AAGAAGUUAUCCCUUUUUACAAAUCAGGUGAUUCUACUUUCCCAGUUUGGGAGUAAGACAACUUCUUUAUCGUUCCAAUCGAACUAGGAUGAACCACUUUGUAAGAAGCCUGAUAUGGAUACAUAAAGUGGUGGAGAAUGACCAGGAAGUUGAAAAAAAUCUCAUAGGAGCUGGGAAGAAGAAGUUAUCCCACAUUCAAAUUAGUUGAUUGUAGUUUCCCAGUUAGGAAUAAGACAACUUCUUCGUCGUUCCAAUCGAACCAGGAUGAAUCACUUUGUAAGAAGCUUGAUAUGGAUACAUAAAUUGGUGGAGAAUGACCAGGAAGUUGAAUAAAUCUCAUAGGAGUUGGGAAGAAGAAGUUAUCCCACUUUCAAAUCAGUUGAUUCCAGUUUCCCAGUUUGGGAAUAAGACAACUUCUUCACAACUUCUUCGUCGUUCCAAUCGAACCAGGAUGAAUCACUUUGUAAGAAGCUUGAUAUGGAUACAUAAAGUGGUGUAGAAUGACCAGGAAGUUGAAAAAAAUCUCAUAGGAGCUGGGAAGAAGAAGUUAUCCCACAUUCAAAUUAGUUGAUUGCAGUUUCCCAGUGAGGAAUAAGACAACUUCUUCGUCGUUCCAAUCGAACCAGGAUGGAUCACUUUGUAAGAAGCUUGAUCUGGAUACAUAAAGUGGCGGAGAAUGACCAGGAAGUUGAAAAAAAUCUCAUAGGAGCUGGGAAGAAGAAGUUAUCCCACAUUCAAAUUAGCUGAUUGUAGUUUCCCAGUUAGGAAUAAGACAACUUCUUCGUCGUUCCAAUCGAACCAA
Molecule: long non-coding RNA, 802 nt
Organism: Brassica rapa (field mustard)
Lineage: Eukaryota; Viridiplantae; Streptophyta; Magnoliopsida; Brassicales; Brassicaceae
Source: RefSeq, a predicted model, not a curated record